Molecule: ribosomal RNA, 265 nt
Filed under: uncultured bacterium
Lineage: Bacteria
Description: partial 16S ribosomal RNA
Rfam family: Bacterial small subunit ribosomal RNA
Source: RNAcentral
CGGGUGAGUAACGCGUGGGUAACCUGCCCUUUUGUGGGGAACAACUUCGAGAAAUCGGAGCUAAUACCGCAUAAUAAUAGAGGAUCGCAUGAUUCUUUAAGGAAAGAUGGCCUCUGAAGAUGCUAUCGCAAAAGGAUGGACCCGCGUCUGAUUAGCUAGUUGGAAGGGUAACGGCCUACCAGGGCAACGAUCAGUAGCCGGCCUGAGAGGGUGAACGGCCACAUUGGGACUGAGACACGGCCCAAACUCCUACGGGAGGCAGCAG